RNAcentral lists this ribosomal RNA (253 nucleotides) under uncultured bacterium. RNAcentral describes it as "partial 16S ribosomal RNA". It matches the Rfam family "Bacterial small subunit ribosomal RNA", at positions 524 to 776 of the family's 1533-position model. The record is from RNAcentral.
GACAGAGGGUGCAAACGUUGUUCGGAAUUACUGGGCGUAAAGCGCGUGUAGGCGGCCCUGCAAGUCGGGUGUGAAAGCCCUCGGCUCAACCGAGGAAGUGCACUCGAAACUGCAGGGCUCGAGUCCCGGAGAGGAUAGUGGAAUUCUCGGUGUAGAGGUGAAAUGCGCAGAUAUCAGGAAGAACACCCGUGGCGAAGGCGGCUCUCUGGGACGGUACUGACGCUGAGACGCGAAAGCGUGGGGAGCGAACAGG